UCCUUGAUUCUUCAAUAAUUUUAUGAUCAAAAUAAAAAGCUUAAUAAAGUGGAGAAGAUUAUUCAUAGUAACUGACUGAAUUUGUCCACUGGAAGUGCAUCGCAUGGUAAUCAUGUUAAUUCAAAAUCUGAACCAUAUUCAAAUUUAAUCAUAUAAGAUGUCAUGCAAUCUCUCAUUUCUUCUAACACUACCUUUAAAACACAACUCACUCAAAUGAUUUCACUAGUAAAUAACUACCUGCAAACCAAGGAACCAAAAGUCACAAACUAAAACAAACCAUGAUACACAACACAUGAUGCUGAACCACACCGCACUGAUCCGCUAACUUCUCAUCGGGAAAAUAGUGAGAUUGAGGUAUACACUAAGCCAUGAAAACACCAAAGCAAAUCUAUUCUAAUCAAGGGCAAGCUCAAACAAUCUUAAAAUACUUAUUCCUAACCAAAAUUAAAGAGGGAUAAUAAUUCAUGACACAACAUGCUAAACAAAGAACUUGUGAACAAUGGAUCCUAAUUCGAAUCAGUACGAUAAAAUGAUGUAUAUAGCUUUCUUACCACUUCCACUAUCAAAUGAUCAAAUAUCCAAAUUCAUUAUUAAAUGCAAACUGAACCUACUUGAAAUUUAGAGGAAAAUUGAACCUGAAAACUUAAUAUAAUUGAAUUUUUU
This 663-nucleotide long non-coding RNA is filed under the name Trifolium pratense (red clover). RNAcentral describes it as "long non-coding RNA (TPRA_LNC009784)". The record is from RNAcentral. Lineage: Eukaryota; Viridiplantae; Streptophyta; Magnoliopsida; Fabales; Fabaceae.